Molecule: long non-coding RNA, 476 nt
Organism: Etheostoma spectabile (orangethroat darter)
Lineage: Eukaryota; Metazoa; Chordata; Actinopteri; Perciformes; Percidae
Exons: 3
Source: RefSeq, a predicted model, not a curated record
UUUGAGGAUUUGGAUGUAACUUAGAAUAUCCUGUACUGCAGAUCCAAGAGCAACAGGAACGGAGGCGUCUAGAGAGGGAUGAGAGGGAGCGUCACGAGGCCCGGCUGGAGGCCGACAUGAAGAAGCACCAGCCCUGGGCCGAGGAGGUGGAGGAGCCCCACUCAGAGACAGUACUGGAAACCUUAUCGCUGACCUCAACCAGAUGCACAAAGUGAAUGAGGAGGCCUACAUCAACCCGGAGCAGUGGCAGAGGAGAGCCACGGCUGCCAGGUCGGCCCGCCAGGCGGAGCUCCCUGACUCCAAUGACAGGCUCUCUGUCUCCGGUACUGUAGCAGAGUGCAGUAGCCAUGACACUAGCGACAGGCUCUCUGGUGUUACCCAUGCCCAAACUCCCCAGUUUGCCCGAGGCAAUGUGUUUCCAACCAGCCCAGCCAACAACAGCUCCACGAGCAGGACAAGUACAAAGCUUACCUCAA